RNAcentral lists this long non-coding RNA (1927 nucleotides) under Lytechinus variegatus (green sea urchin). RNAcentral's name for it is "uncharacterized LOC121426146, transcript variant X1". Lineage: Eukaryota; Metazoa; Echinodermata; Echinoidea; Temnopleuroida; Toxopneustidae. The record is from RNAcentral.
AAAGGGACUACACCCAAACCAGACAAAGCUGCAGGCAAACACAUGUAUGGCAUAAAGAAAGUACCUUCCUGCAUCCCCAGAAAGUGAGGAUGAAGAAACGAUCAAUGCUCACAUCAAGAUGCUUCAGAAUGAAUCCAGAAAAACAAGACAGGACAGCUUGAUGAUAGACAAUCUACUAACUUAUGCCCAUAGGCGCAAGGGUAUCAUCAACAGCAACUGGACUGAAUCCUACUUGAAGGAUAUGUACCCUUACCUUUUCCAUGAAGAUGAGAGUUUGAGAGACUGUCAGAGGACCCAACUAAGCAGAAGUUGGAAGCAGGACAUUUGAAUAUGCUGAUCCAUUACUAGAGAUAUGCAAGACUCCCAAGCAAGGUUUGGAGCUCAAAAACCUGAUCUUGGCUGCAGCAGCAGAAAAUGAAGACACCAGGAAAAUGAUCAAAUCAUGUGGAGCACUUCUGUUGAUUCCUACUAUUUUUUGGAGAGAAGGCAUUGCUUUGUCAGCAUAGCCAGGAAAAAAAACGGACCAAUCGCCAAAAUCAUCUACAAAAGUAAGCCCGACAGUGCAGGUCUGACUCUGAGCAGUGAUCAUGAAAAAUUCACGGAAAUUCUGCAAUCAUCCUAUAUUACAGCAGAGAAUGAAGUCAUCUGCGAGAAAACCACCUACCUCAUGUCAGCAGUCUCUCUGCUUAUGUCGGCCCAUUAUGUAUUCAACUGAUCAUACACCCCCAAGAUGGGUAACACCCUCACAUUCAUUCAGAAGAUUCUGAUGAACAUAGAUUCCACAUCUCAACCCUCAUCCAAGGUCGUAAGAAGCCUGUAUGACUUAAAUGCUGUCCGAAAUGCUGAUGCCAGUAGUUCUUCAGUUUAAUAGAAAUUAAUUACUUGGGUGAUGCUACUGCAACUCAGCUGAUCACACUUUCUCUACGUGCAAUCACCUUAGGUGUUGUAUCUGUCUUUUAUGUGCAAAAUAGAUUGAAAUAGAUACGACAGGUUGACCGUGAAUUUAGACAUCAAGUAUGUGCAUUAUUUCGCUUUGCUUCAGUACAAUUUCAGUGGCCCUUGAAUUGGAAAUCUUUUCAUAUCCCAAGAAUUACGUAUAAAUGCUUAAUGAAAUUUUUGUCACAGAUAAAAUAGGAUUUUGCACACACAAAAAGAAAAUAUAUUUGGACCCAAAAUUUUUAUAGAUCAGAUGGUCAACAAUUUUUUUUUUUGGGGGGGGGAAUUGAAGACUAAGCUAUUAAUAUUCUACUUUUUGAUUUUUGUACACAUUUUGUUACUGUACAUGUAAAUAAGUUUAACACCACAAAUUUGAAGAAUUACAACAUUUUAAAGGUUCUCUAUGGAAUUUUAGUUAGUUUGUAAGUUUCAAGCAACUUAGUAUUUAAUUCCAAGAAUUAUACAAAGGCACUUUUCAAGAUUAUGGCUUCCAACAUCAGUACAUGAUGGAAACAAUUCUCAAUGUUUACAUUUAUUGAGAGAUGGUAAGCACAUGCAACUGAUUUGAAACUAAUUUUAUAAAUUUGACAAAGCACUGCCAUUAAUUUUAAGCCAAUCUGCACACUUCCAAGCAUGUCAAAGGUAUUGCUUAAUAGCCCAAUCACCACAAUUAUCAUUGCCUUUAAAAAAAAAUUGCACAAAUAUAUUUAAAUAGAAAAGGUCAGUAUCUGCUUGAAGAUACAGCUGCUAUAGGAGGCAGAUUUUGCGGAAAAUACCAGGGCUUCACAGUGAGAGAAAUGGUAUUAAGAAUGGGGGAUUCUGCGAAGUGCUUUAAAAAUUAAUUGAGAAUCCAAAUUGCACAUUUUGAAAUUGUCUUUUGUACUAUUAGUAGUAAAAUGUUUUUGUGGGUUUUCCUACAGCAAAAAUUGACAUUUGGGGAAUUCCCGUGUCAUGCAUGGGGAUUCUUAAAUUUAAAUUGUGUUUGUACGUA